CCAGGAUGAAAGCACUUGCCAAGAUACCAAUUACAGCUAUAAUGAGAGGAGAAAAAUCAGUUCCAGAAUCAUCAUCUCCAAGGUUAAAGGGAGGAGGGGGAGGGAAAAUUAUAUAGCACCAUUGUGGACAAUAUAUGCUGCAAAUUUGCUGGGAACAAUCUUUAUAGGUAUCAUAGGUUGCCCAAGGAUUCUGGUUCCCAACAGAACCCAUGUUGUUGAAUCUUGGUAAUAAAAUUGUAUGUAAAUUUUGCAAUAGUUCACUUGCCUCAAUAUUUACACUAAAUUUUUG
RNAcentral lists this unclassified non-coding RNA (289 nucleotides) under Hevea brasiliensis (rubber tree). The record is from RNAcentral. Lineage: Eukaryota; Viridiplantae; Streptophyta; Magnoliopsida; Malpighiales; Euphorbiaceae.